RNAcentral lists this ribosomal RNA (1209 nucleotides) under uncultured fungus. RNAcentral's name for it is "eukaryotic LSU rRNA". The stretch from base 569 to 1209 matches the Rfam family "Eukaryotic large subunit ribosomal RNA", at positions 1 to 667 of the family's 3401-position model. The record is from RNAcentral. Lineage: Eukaryota; Fungi.
CUUGGUCAUUUAGAGGAAGUAAAAGUCGUAACAAGGUCUCCGUUGGUGAACCAGCGGAGGGAUCAUUACUGAGUUUCCGACUCCCAAACCCUUUGAGAACCUUACCUAUUGUUGCUUCGGCGGUGACGUCCCGGCGCCCUUGCUGCCCGGACCCAGGCGCCCGCCGGAGGCCCCAAACUCUUGUUUUAGCCUGUGGGAAUUUCUGAGUUAACAAAACAAAUAAAUCAAAACUUUCAACAACGGAUCUCUUGGUUCUGGCAUCGAUGAAGAACGCAGCGAAAUGCGAUAAGUAAUGUGAAUUGCAGAAUUCAGUGAAUCAUCGAAUCUUUGAACGCACAUUGCGCCUGCCAGUAUUCUGGCGGGCAUGCCUGUUCAAGCGUCAUUUCAACCCCUCAAGCCCUUUCUAGGGCUUGGUGUUGGGGCCAGGCCUCCCGCUCGUCGAGCGCGGCCGGCUCUCAAAAUUAGUGGCGGUCUCGCUGUAGCCUCCCCUGCGUAGUAGUACACCUCGCACUGGAGCGCGGCGCGGCCACGCCGUAAAACGGUCGCCUUAGGGCACAUUUUAGAAGGUUGACCUCGGAUCAGGUAGGGAUACCCGCUGAACUUAAGCAUAUCAAUAAGCGGAGGAAAAGAAACCAACAGGGAUUGCCCUAGUAACGGCGAGUGAAGCGGCAACAGCUCAAAUUUGAAAUCUGGCCCUUGGGUCCGAGUUGUAAUUUGCAGAGGAUGCUUUUGGUGCGGUGCCUUCCGAGUUCCCUGGAACGGGACGCCAUAGAGGGUGAGAGCCCCGUCCGGUUGGAUACCUAGCCUCUGUAAAGCUCCUUCGACGAGUCGAGUAGUUUGGGAAUGCUGCUCUAAAUGGGAGGUAUAUGUCUUCUAAAGCUAAAUACCGGCCAGAGACCGAUAGCGCACAAGUAGAGUGAUCGAAAGAUGAAAAGCACUUUGAAAAGAGGGUUAAAUAGUACGUGAAAUUGUUGAAAGGGAAGCGUUUGUGACCAGACUUGGGCUUGGUUAAUCAUCCAGCGUUCUCGCUGGUGCACUUUGCCGGUCCAGGCCAGCAUCAGUUCGUGGCGGGGGACAAAGGCUUCGGGAACGUGGCUCCCUAGGGAGUGUUAUAGACCGUUGCGUAAUACCCUGCCGUGGACUGAGGUUCGCGCUUCUGUAAGGAUGCUGGCGUAAUGGUCAUCAACGACCCGUCUUGAAACACGGACC